Molecule: long non-coding RNA, 599 nt
Filed under: Carica papaya (papaya)
Lineage: Eukaryota; Viridiplantae; Streptophyta; Magnoliopsida; Brassicales; Caricaceae
Description: long non-coding RNA (CPAP_LNC011483)
Source: RNAcentral
CUUAGCCACGAGUGAUCCCUACAGAUAGUGCGAUACCACUCUCGUCGUAGGGUACACCGUCAUCCAUUAAGAGUGAUUCUCUUACAUCUUUUUAGACCAGAUAAGGAAGGGAGAAACAGAUAUCCCAAAGGGCAAGGAGAACAUAUCCCUAUCAGAGAUAAAAACUCUAAUGAGACACUUGAUACAAUACGUAUAUCAAUACAGAUACACUUUAGACCAUACAGGCUUUAUUCCACUUUUCUCUCUUUUUUUCUUUUAUACUUUUUAUUUUUAUUAAUUACAUAUUAUUUUAUUAUAUACAAUUCAUCAAGUGUUUGCAAUUCACAUAGUAUGCUUGAAAAUAAGAACAAUUCGACUCAUCUGAAUACAAUACUAGACUACUAUCUCUCUCCCUCUAAAUCUUGAAAAAUGAAAGAAUGAAAGUGUGGAGAGGAAGGAAAGGGAAAAGGUAAUUUAUAGAGUUUUAAAAUCGUCGAGUUCGCGCCAAGUGGCAAAAUUCGGUGAAGAGAGAGGAGAAAAAGAUGUUUGGCAUAAAAAACAAGGGAGGAGGGCCUCCUCAAUUGUGGACUGCGGGGCACUGCCUGAGGUGGCAGUGCCCC